This 444-nucleotide ribosomal RNA is filed under the name uncultured Haloalcalophilium sp. RNAcentral describes it as "bacterial SSU rRNA". It matches the Rfam family "Archaeal small subunit ribosomal RNA", at positions 54 to 499 of the family's 1478-position model. The record is from RNAcentral. Lineage: Archaea; Methanobacteriati; Methanobacteriota; Halobacteria; Halobacteriales.
CGAGUCGCACGAGUUCACACUCGUGGCAAACGGCUCAGUAACACGUGGCCAAACUGCCCUAUGGACGCGGAUAAUCUCGGGAAACUGAGGCUAAUCCGUGAUACUGCUCUCGAGCUGGAAUGCUGAGAGCACGAAACGCUCCGGCGCCAUAGGAUGUGGCUGCGGCCGAUUAGGUAGACGGUGGGGUAACGGCCCACCGUGCCGAUAAUCGGUACGGGUAGUGAGAGCUAGAGCCCGGAGACGGACUCUGAGACAAGAGUCCGGGCCCUACGGGGCGCAGCAGGCGCGAAACCUUUACACUGCACGACAGUGCGAUAGGGGGAUUCCGAGUGCGAGGGCGUACAGUCCUCGCUUUUCUGUACCUUAAGGUGGUACAGGAAUAAGAGCUGGGCAAGACCGGUGCCAGCCGCCGCGGUAAUACCGGCAGCUCAAGUGAUGACCGAU